CCUACGGGUGGCAGCAGUGAGGAAUAUUGGUCAAUGGACGGAAGGCUGAACCAGCCAAGCCGCGUGAAGGACGAAGGUGCCAAGCAUUGUAAACUUCUUUUGUCAAGGGACAAACUCAGGGACGCGUGCCUGACUGAGGGUACUUGAAGAAAAAGCAUCGGCUAACUCCGUGCCAGCAGCCGCGGUAAUACGGAGGAUGCGAGCGUUAUCCGGAUUUAUUGGGUUUAAAGGGUGCGUAGGCGGGCUGUUAAGUCAGCGGUAAAAGCCCGGGGCUCAACCCCGGCGAGCCGUUGAAACUGGCAGUCUUGAGUAGGCGAGAGGUAUGCGGAAUGCGCGGUGUAGCGGUGAAAUGCUUAGAUAUCGCGCAGAACUCCGAUUGCGAAGGCAGCAUACCG
Molecule: ribosomal RNA, 395 nt
Filed under: uncultured bacterium
Lineage: Bacteria
Description: partial 16S ribosomal RNA
Rfam family: Bacterial small subunit ribosomal RNA
Source: RNAcentral